This 301-nucleotide ribosomal RNA is filed under the name uncultured bacterium. Its description in RNAcentral is "partial 16S ribosomal RNA". It matches the Rfam family "Bacterial small subunit ribosomal RNA", at positions 509 to 807 of the family's 1533-position model. The record is from RNAcentral.
CAGUAGCCACGGUAAUACAGAGGGUGCGAGCGUUAAUCGGAUUUACUGGGCGUAAAGCGUGCGUAGGCGGCUAAUUGAGUCGGAUGUGAAAUCCCCGAGCUUAACUUGGGAAUUGCAUUCGAUACUGGUUAGCUAGAGUGUGGGAGAGGAUGGUAGAAUUCCAGGUGUAGCGGUGAAAUGCGUAGAGAUCGGGAGGAACAUCAGUGGCGAAGGCGGCCAUCUGGGACAACACUGACGCUGAGGCACGAAAGCGUGGGGAGCAAACAGGAUUAGAUACCCCCGUAGUCCCUGUCUCUUAUAC